AGGGCACCACCAGGAGUGGAGCCUGCGGCUUAAUUUGACUCAACACGGGAAAUCUCACCAGGCCCGGACACCGGAAGGAUUGACAGAUUGAGAGCUCUUUCUUGAUUCGGUGGGUGGUGGUGCAUGGCCGUUCUUAGUUGGUGGAGCGAUUUGUCUGGUUAAUUCCGAUAACGAACGAGACUCUGGCCUACUAACUAGACGAUAUAUCCUUUAUGGGUUUAUCGCAGCUUCUUAGAGGGACGGGCGGCGUUUAGCCGCACGAGAAUGAGCAAUAACAGGUCUGUGAUGCCCUUAGAUGUUCUGGGCUGCACGCGCGCUACACUGAAGAAAUCAGCGUGUGCCCCCUACCCGAAAGGGUUGGGAAACCCGUUGAACCUUCUUCGUGAUGGGGAUUGGAGAUUGCAAUUAUUCUCCAUGAACGAGGAAUUCCCAGUAGGCGCGAGUCAUAAGCUUGCGUCGAUUACGUCCCUGCCCUUUGUACACACCGCCCGUCGCUACUACCGAUCGAGUGAUUUAGUG
RNAcentral lists this ribosomal RNA (519 nucleotides) under uncultured eukaryote. Its description in RNAcentral is "SSU rRNA". It matches the Rfam family "Eukaryotic small subunit ribosomal RNA", at positions 1161 to 1703 of the family's 1831-position model. The record is from RNAcentral.